Molecule: long non-coding RNA, 294 nt
Organism: Pimephales promelas (fathead minnow)
Lineage: Eukaryota; Metazoa; Chordata; Actinopteri; Cypriniformes; Leuciscidae
Source: RefSeq, a predicted model, not a curated record
UGCCGUUGCUGUGGAAGUCCUGUGGCGAGUGGAACUCAAUGCUCCGUAGUGGGAAUCAAUAUGACGAAAAGCUUACCCAUAUCCUAUCUGGCCAGUGAUUUCCCUGAGAAGAGAUAUGAUUUCAUUACCCUCCAUUUACUUCUAGAAUGGCCUUCGUUUUGAGACGUGAUGACAUCUUAUCCUUGGAGUAGGAAUGCUGGGUACUGACUCCUGCUCCCAGUGUCUAACUUUACACAGGUCUGGCAUUGGGCCUAGAGAGAAGACAGAGCCAAGAGACACACUCUCUCUUGCAUA